UCAGCGACUUAUAUUCUGUAGCAAGGUUAACCGAAUAGGGGAGCCGGAGGGAAACCGAGUCUUAAUUGGGCGUUAAGUUGCAGGGUAUAGACCCGAAACCCGGUGAUCUAGCCAUGGGCAGGUUGAAGGUUGGGUAACACUAACUGGAGGACCGAACCGACUAAUGUUGAAAAAUUAGCGGAUGACCUGUGGCUGGGGGUGAAAGGCCAAUCAAACCGGGAGAUAGCUGGUUCUCCCCGAAAGCUAUUUAGGUAGCGCCUCGUGAAUUCAUCUCCGGGGGUAGAGCACUGUUUCGGCUAGGGGGCCAUCCCGGCUUACCAACCCGAUGCAAACUGCGAAUACCGGAGAAUGUUAUCACGGGAGACACACGGCGGGUGCUAACGUCCGUCGUGAAGAGGGAAACAACCCAGACCGCCAGCUAAGGUCCCAAAGUCAUGGUUAAGUGGGAAACGAUGUGGGAAGGCCCAGACAGCCAGGAUGUUGGCUUAGAAGCAGCCAUCAUUUAAAGAAAGCGUAAUAGCUCACUGGUCGAGUCGGCCUGCGCGGAAGAUGUAACGGGGCUAAACCAUGCACCGAAGCUGCGGCAGCGACACUGUGUGUUGUUGGGUAGGGGAGCGUUCUGUAAGCCUGUGAAGGUGUGUCGUGAGGCAUGCUGGAGGUAUCAGAAGUGCGAAUGCUGACAUAAGUAACGAUAAAGCGGGUGAAAAGCCCGCUCGCCGGAAGACCAAGGGUUCCUGUCCAACGUUAAUCGGGGCAGGGUGAGUCGACCCCUAAGGCGAGGCCGAAAGGCGUAGUCGAUGGGAAACGGGUUAAUAUUCCCGUACUUGGUGUUACUGCGAAGGGGGGACGGAGAAGGCUAUGUUGGCCGGGCGACGGUUGUCCCGGUUUAAGCGUGUAGGUGUGUGUUCCAGGUAAAUCCGGUUCACUUUAACACUGAGGCGUGACGACGAGGCACUACGGUGCUGAAGCAACAAAUGCCCUGCUUCCAGGAAAAGCCUCUAAGCAUCAGGUAACAUCAAAUCGUACCCCAAACCGACACAGGUGGUCAGGUAGAGAAUACCAAGGCGCUUGAGAGAACUCGGGUGAAGGAACUAGGCAAAAUGGUGCCGUAACUUCGGGAGAAGGCACGCUGACACGUAGGUGAAGUGAUUUACUCAUGGAGCUGAAGUCAGUCGAAGAUACCAGCUGGCUGCAACUGUUUAUUAAAAACACAGCACUGUGCAAACACGAAAGUGGACGUAUACGGUGUGACGCCUGCCCGGUGCCGGAAGGUUAAUUGAUGGGGUCAGCGCAAGCGAAGCUCCUGAUCGAAGCCCCGGUAAACGGCGGCCGUAACUAUAACGGUCCUAAGGUAGCGAAAUUCCUUGUCGGGUAAGUUCCGACCUGCACGAAUGGCGUAAUGAUGGCCAGGCUGUCUCCACCCGAGACUCAGUGAAAUUGAACUCGCUGUGAAGAUGCAGUGUACCCGCGGCAAGACGGAAAGACCCCGUGAACCUUUACUAUAGCUUGACACUGAACAUUGAGCCUUGAUGUGUAGGAUAGGUGGGAGGCUUUGAAGUGUGGACGCCAGUCUGCAUGGAGCCGACCUUGAAAUACCACCCUUUAAUGUUUGAUGUUCUAACGUGGACCCGUUACCCGGGUUGCGGACAGUGUCUGGUGGGUAGUUUGACUGGGGCGGUCUCCUCCUAAAGAGUAACGGAGGAGCACGAAGGUUGGCUAAUCCUGGUCGGACAUCAGGAGGUUAGUGCAAUGGCAUAAGCCAGCUUGACUGCGAGCGUGACGGCGCGAGCAGGUGCGAAAGCAGGUCAUAGUGAUCCGGUGGUUCUGAAUGGAAGGGCCAUCGCUCAACGGAUAAAAGGUACUCCGGGGAUAACAGGCUGAUACCGCCCAAGAGUUCAUAUCGACGGCGGUGUUUGGCACCUCGAUGUCGGCUCAUCACAUCCUGGGGCUGAAGUAGGUCCCAAGGGUAUGGCUGUUCGCCAUUUAAAGUGGUACGCGAGCUGGGUUUAGAACGUCGUGAGACAGUUCGGUCCCUAUCUGCCGUGGGCGCUGGAGAACUGAGGGGGGCUGCUCCUAGUACGAGAGGACCGGAGUGGACGCAUCACUGGUGUUCGGGUUGUCAUGCCAAUGGCACUGCCCGGUAGCUAAAUGCGGAAGAGAUAAGUGCUGAAAGCAUCUAAGCACGAAACUUGCCCCGAGAUGAGUUCUCCCUGAGACUUAGAGUCUCCUGAAGGAACGUUGAAGACGACGACGUUGAUAGGCCGGGUGUGUAAGCGCAGCGAUGCGUUGAGCUAACCGGUACUAAUGAACCGUGAGGCUUAACCUUACAACGCCGAAG
This 2338-nucleotide ribosomal RNA is filed under the name Salmonella enterica subsp. enterica serovar Enteritidis. Its description in RNAcentral is "bacterial LSU rRNA". It matches the Rfam family "Bacterial large subunit ribosomal RNA", at positions 620 to 2925 of the family's 2925-position model. Lineage: Bacteria; Pseudomonadati; Pseudomonadota; Gammaproteobacteria; Enterobacterales; Enterobacteriaceae. The record is from RNAcentral.